GACGAACGCUGGCGGCGUGCUUAACACAUGCAAGUCGAACGGAAAGGCCCUGCUUUUGUGGGGUGCUCGAGUGGCGAACGGGUGAGUAACACGUGAGUAACCUGCCCUUGACUUUGGGAUAACUUCAGGAAACUGGGGCUAAUACCGGAUAGGAGCUCCUGCUGCAUUGUGGGGGUUGGAAAGUUUCGGCGGUUGGGGAUGGACUCGCGGCUUAUCAGCUUGUUGGUGGGGUAGUGGCUUACCAAGGCUUUGACGGGUAGCCGGCCUGAGAGGGUGACCGGCCACAUUAGGACUGAGAUACGGCCCAGACUCCUACGGGAGGCAGCAGUGGGGAAUAUUGCACAAUGGGCGGAAGCCUGAUGCAGCAACGCCGCGUGCGGGAUGACGGCCUUCGGGUUGUAAACCGCUUUCGCCUGUGACGAAGCGUGAGUGACGGUAAUGGGUAAAGAAGCACCGGCUAACUACGUG
This 468-nucleotide ribosomal RNA is filed under the name uncultured bacterium. Its description in RNAcentral is "partial 16S ribosomal RNA". It matches the Rfam family "Bacterial small subunit ribosomal RNA", at positions 28 to 507 of the family's 1533-position model. The record is from RNAcentral.